RNAcentral lists this ribosomal RNA (468 nucleotides) under uncultured bacterium. Its description in RNAcentral is "partial 16S ribosomal RNA". It matches the Rfam family "Bacterial small subunit ribosomal RNA", at positions 28 to 507 of the family's 1533-position model. The record is from RNAcentral.
GACGAACGCUGGCGGCGUGCUUAACACAUGCAAGUCGAACGGAAAGGCCCUGCUUUUGUGGGGUGCUCGAGUGGCGAACGGGUGAGUAACACGUGAGUAACCUGCCCUUGACUUUGGGAUAACUUCAGGAAACUGGGGCUAAUACCGGAUAGGAGCUCCUGCUGCAUGGUGGGGGUUGGAAAGUUUCGGCGGUUGGGGAUGGACUCGCGGCUUAUCAGCUUGUUGGUGGGGUAGUGGCUUACCAAGGCUUUGACGGGUAGCCGGCCUGAGAGGGUGACCGGCCACAUUGGGACUGAGAUACGGCCCAGACUCCUACGGGAGGCAGCAGUGGGGGAUAUUGCACAAUGGGCGGAAGCCGGAUGCAGCAACGCCGCGUGCGGGAUGACGGCCGUCGGGUUGUAAACCGCUUUCGCCUGUGACGAAGCGUGAGUGACGGUAAUGGGUAAAGAAGCACCGGCUAACUACGUG